This is a non-coding RNA of Schistosoma rodhaini, 45 nucleotides long. The record is from Rfam. Lineage: Eukaryota; Metazoa; Platyhelminthes; Trematoda; Strigeidida; Schistosomatidae.
CUGCAGUUGAUCAGUCUCAAAUAGGACGAAACGCGCGUCCUGAAU